Non-coding RNA from Peromyscus maniculatus bairdii (prairie deer mouse), 2028 nucleotides. NCBI's taxonomy places the organism in Eukaryota, Metazoa, Chordata, Mammalia, Rodentia, Cricetidae. The record is from RefSeq and is a predicted model, not a curated record.
UUACUGUGUGCCCAAGUACCUUCAGUCUUUUUAGACAGCUCCUCAAAGAAGCCUGCCAGGUGCCUACUCAACAGGUGAACAAGCAAGAUUUCGAAGCAACAUGUAUCCACUAUGUAAAGGACCUGCUUGCAGAGUGACUAAGAAUCACAGGGGAACAGACUAAGGGUUCAUCAGCCUCCCUGUAUCAGCUGCCUGCACCUGGGUAUCCAGUGUCUAUCCUGCUCUGUAUCUCUGAGAGACUUUGGACUUCAUUGCACCGCAUCAAGAAACCAAACAUCACCAAGAGACCAGGACUGUCUUGUCCUUGCCCUGCAAACAUCAUCAUGCACUUGUGCCCAGAACAAAGAGUGGAAAGGUACACCCAGACAUUUGCAAUCUGAAAACACUUACCCCAAACUGUGCAAGCAGCAAGAGAAAGCCAGACCAGAGGGUAGGGCCACAUUGUGGGUGGACAGGACUCCGCGGGUCUGUGAGGUACCUGCCGCUGCCCUAGCAAUGCUUCUGCUGUGGACCCAGGGACCCGCCUCCUCAAAUCUUGCUCAACCAGCCCAGUUAUGUAAUCUUAGAUGACAAAAAAGCUCUCCUCUUCCAAAGAGCUCCCUGGGUCAGUUGGGACCUCCAAGCCACGCCCACCAAGAGUUUACCCACUUUAUUCUGAACAGUCAGUACCCAAUACUCAGAUUACAAAUGGCCAGGAACUCAUCCAACUGCUUCUUAUGUAAGCACUUCUCCUCACAACGCUCUUUGCUCUCACCUCAGCACACCUUAAACUCUCACUAGCAGGAAGCAGCAAGCGAGUGCCUGCAAGUUUGGGGGAGUUUGGGCCAGCCUCCCGGGACUGUCAUUUCCUAGAAUCCAUGUCUCAAGUUUGGAAGGAAUCUCACCCUCUAUCAUUCUUCAGAUGAUUCCAAAAUUAUCUUUGCAGUACUCCUGCCGAGUGACCGGCCCACCACACGGCACCUUCAGGGUCAAGGAAAUCUACCCUUCAGAGAGAGGCCUUUUGAACACAAUGUUCUUGCAGUAAAUGAGCUCCACCGAUCACAAUCCUUGCCUCUAAGUGUCCAUGCAUACACAGAUUCUUCAAAUACUCACAAGCUGCAUGGCCUCUCUUUUCAUAGGAACCUACAACAGCAGGUGGCAGUAGGUGCAGCUCCAGAAUUGCUGGCUCUCGCCUGUUUCAAGGAUGUCACCUCUUUAUGCUUUCGUGUCCGGGUACCUCUAUUCACACCCCUGUUGUGUAUUUGGUUUGUUUUACUUAAUCAUUUAUUUUUAAGUCUUUGAGAUGCAUCACUGGGUUGUUUUUCCAUUUUCAUUUGGUUCUAAGAAUCUUUAAUUAGUUAAAAAUUGGGAGAUUUCAACUGAUUCAUUUUGGAAAAAGUUCAUGAACUGAUGGAAUAAUAGAUGCUCUACAGUUCUGUGAGGGACUGUUCUGUAACUUUAAGUCCAUUUGUGCACACUUAUGUCUUUUGUACAUUUAGACAGUCAUGACAUAACUACUUUUGCUCUGAGUCCCGUGUGUUGUACUUCCGUUUUCAUUUCUUUUAAGAGAUUUUGUAAUCCUCUCCCUCUUCCCCCUAUUUCUUCGAUGAAUCAUUGUUCAUUGCAAAUUACAUUGCUCAAUCUCCAUUAUGCAUACUUUCCAUGAUUUUUUAUUUCAUUCUCUUAUGAUCUGACACAAUGAAAGAAGUUAUUGUAGUUUUUAUAUUUAUAUUUAUAAAUUCUUUGUUUGCUAAGACUUACUUUAUUAUCUAAAAUAUGACCUGUUUGGAAAACAUUCCAUAAGAAGAUGAAAUGAAUGUGGAUUCCGUGUCUGUUAGAUGGAAUUCUCUGUACAUUUCUGUGAAGUCCAUAUGAGGUAUUGGGUAAUUUAAUUCUACUGUUUGUUGACUUUUUUAUUUCGAUGAUCUCCCUGUUGGUAGGAGGAGAAUAUUGAAAUCACCCGUGGUUGUUGUGCUAGAGCUCCUGACAUUACUGCUAUAGCAUUGGUACCCUAACAUUGUGUGUAUUUGCAAUAAUUGUGUUUUGUGA